GAGCUGCCGCGGGGGUCUCUGGCUGCGGGGCCGGAGGGGCGCAGUUGUCCCGCCGUGCAGAAGGUGGGCGACUCACCGCUUUGGGACGGGGUUGGUGGCACAGCUGAAGCGAAAGGGCAAGAAGGAGAGGGCACUGCGGAGCGGUUCUCGGCUGAUACUUUUGGGAAAAGCGACAACACUGACUCCUUGUCAGGCCCAAUAGGACCACACAUGGAAUGCAGCUUCCAGCAUCCUGAGUGAUAUUUGACAGUGGGAGAAAGAAUUAAGUUUCGUGACAACUGAUGUCUGAAUAGAAGAGCCCACAUUAGAGCCCCAGACCCAGCAUCUUGGCUAAAGAGACCCCUGGGCAGCUCCCCAUCCAGCCCUGCACUCAGUUUGGAGGGAGGCACAGCAUGUGCUGCCUCUUGUCCAGCAUGGGAUGGGCCAGCUGUGCAACAGGGGACUCCAGGGACGGAGGAGGAAGAGAAGAGUGCAAAAGCUGCCUGUGGCUGCAAGGGCAGUGCAAGUUUGGAUGACUAGAAGGUGAACCCAGCAUGGUGACACAGACCUCCUGCUUACAAAUAGACUGCCAUUUCAAAAUCACUAAGGAUACUUUUUAAAGAAGAAAGUGUGCUACCUCUUAGGUACUACAGAUCUCUACAUUCUUUGCUAAGGAGUAUUUUUAUACUCUGAAUUUAUUAUGGUUUUUUGUUGUUGUUUUUUGUUUUACUUGCAUGAUGUUCCUUUUACAAUAACAAUCAGGCAAAACUUCCAUUUAAGAGAAA
Long non-coding RNA from Meleagris gallopavo (turkey), 764 nucleotides. RefSeq lists it as uncharacterized. Lineage: Eukaryota; Metazoa; Chordata; Aves; Galliformes; Phasianidae. The record is from RefSeq and is a predicted model, not a curated record.